RNAcentral lists this transfer RNA (77 nucleotides) under Chloroflexota bacterium. RNAcentral describes it as "Chloroflexi bacterium (groundwater metagenome) tRNA-Asp". It matches the Rfam family "tRNA". From Rfam's summary of the family: Transfer RNA (tRNA) molecules are approximately 80 nucleotides in length. Their secondary structure includes four short double-helical elements and three loops (D, anti-codon, and T loops). Lineage: Bacteria; Bacillati; Chloroflexota. The record is from RNAcentral.
GGCCCGGUGGUGUAGCGGCCAAACAUACCUCCCUGUCACGGAGGAGAUCGGGGGUUCGAAUCCCCCCCGGGUCGCCA